GAACUGUAGAGUUUGAUCCUGGCUCAGAUUGAACGCUGGCGGAAUGCUUUACACAUGCAAGUCGAACGGCAGCACGGGGGCAACCCUGGUGGCGAGUGGCGAACGGGUGAGUAAUACAUCGGAACGUGCCCAAUCGUGGGGGAUAACGUAGCGAAAGCUACGCUAAUACCGCAUACGAUCUACGGAUGAAAGCGGGGGAUCGCAAGACCUCGCGCGAAUGGAGCGGCCGAUGGCAGAUUAGGUAGUUGGUGGGGUAAAGGCUCACCAAGCCGACGAUCUGUAGCUGGUCUGAGAGGACGACCAGCCACACUGGGACUGAGACACGGCCCAGACUCCUACGGGAGG
RNAcentral lists this ribosomal RNA (345 nucleotides) under Ramlibacter sp. RNAcentral describes it as "bacterial SSU rRNA". It matches the Rfam family "Bacterial small subunit ribosomal RNA", at positions 1 to 348 of the family's 1533-position model. Lineage: Bacteria; Pseudomonadati; Pseudomonadota; Betaproteobacteria; Burkholderiales; Comamonadaceae. The record is from RNAcentral.